UUCACAGGUAAGCAUUGAUCAUAUUUCAUACACUAGAGGACUGGGUCUGAAUGUUGUGAGUUACCAUGGGGAGUCUGACAUGCAAAUGUGUCGAGUGAUGUUUGGGAACGAUUCAACAACGAUACACACACGAGCGACGAGGGUAAUCCAAGGUUUAGUGAGUUAGUUUUUGGUUUAGAGUUAGAGUAACAGUUUGUCAACAUGAAAUGAAAAUGAAUCAAACAAUUUUUCAAGCUAA
This is a long non-coding RNA of Culex quinquefasciatus (southern house mosquito), 238 nucleotides long. RefSeq lists it as uncharacterized. Lineage: Eukaryota; Metazoa; Arthropoda; Insecta; Diptera; Culicidae. The record is from RefSeq and is a predicted model, not a curated record. The transcript is spliced from 2 exons.